This 544-nucleotide long non-coding RNA is filed under the name Hordeum vulgare. RNAcentral's name for it is "long non-coding RNA (HVUL_LNC011052)". The record is from RNAcentral. Lineage: Eukaryota; Viridiplantae; Streptophyta; Magnoliopsida; Poales; Poaceae.
GUUUAUGUAUGUGGAAGUACUCCUUAUCAUUAUGAGCACUUUCAAGAGACUAUGUAAAUAGACCUUGAGAUUUAUAAAAGUUUCCUCAUGCAUUUCGUAAUCAGUGGCCACAUCAUAAUACCAAUACAAUAGCGUCGAACAUUUCUGAAACAUAUCUAAAAAAGUGGAGCACCUAAGCUGGCAGAUAUUGAGAUCGGUGGAGUCAUCAUAGGAACCUCGUCAUCGACGUGCGCAUUAUACCCUUUCGAAAAGUCUAGAAUAUAUCUAAAAAAUUACAAGCACAUGUGUCAAAUUUUAUACUUCAAUGCUAGAUAGAUACAUCCGUUCGAGCGACAAAUAAUAUGAAUCGGAGGGAGAAAUAUGAGUAUAGUUUGGGCCAGGAGAAACCUAACUAACUAACCUAAAGAUCAGUUCACAUACACAUGAUCAUGAUGACAAGAUUGUAUAUGGUCAAUUUGGUGUUACAUUCACAUAUACUCAGUUAACAUUUAUUUGAAAGAAAUGCAGCAGGGGAAGCUCCUACAACUAGUUUUGUUUCUAAAAG